AAACUGGUUUUUAAUUUCUUUUCCUCCUACACUUAUAAAUCCCAAUAUAUAUUUCUUUUCCUCCCACACUUAUAAAUUCCAAUAUAUAUUUCUUUUCCUCUUCCCCUUAUAAAUCUAAAUAUAUAUUUCUUUUCCUCCUACACUUAUAAAUCUCAAUUUUCUUAUUUUAACAUUUGUAAACUAUUAUAUUACAAAAUUUUAUUUACAUAUUAUAAAAUUUAUAAUUUAUAAUUUAUACAAAAAAUAACCGCAGCGAAGCGCGGGAACUCCACUCGAAUAAU
RNAcentral lists this long non-coding RNA (281 nucleotides) under Ananas comosus (pineapple). RNAcentral's name for it is "long non-coding RNA (ACOM_LNC044270)". Lineage: Eukaryota; Viridiplantae; Streptophyta; Magnoliopsida; Poales; Bromeliaceae. The record is from RNAcentral.